GGACUCACUAUUUCAUUUUAAAUUCCCUGAAAUGUCUUCGUGACAGAUAAAAGUGCAGUGUCUAUGAUAGGUCAAAGUUAAGCUGAAGUUUAUGGGCAAGGACAACAUACAAGUCUCUCAUAUAAAUGUAACCUAAGUGCGUCCGUUAAAGACAUAUGUUGAAAAUGAACAUAUUUUAGACAUGGGAUUUUAAAAGUGAUGAAUAGAUGGCACCACUUCUUAAUUCUAAACUAACUUCUCCACUAGCACUAGCUUUCUACAUAGCCCUUUGGAAAUCGCAAAAAUCUAUCAAUGGUUCUUGAAGAAGCAUGGAUUAGAAGUGUGAGAGAACUGUUUCUUUGGGCUUAGCUAUUGGCUUCUCUAAUCACCAAGAGAUAUGCAUACAAAAAAACAUUCUCCAUGAGUAGCAGAUGCAUAUAAGUCACAAAAAGGCAUGGAAUCCAUUAGGGUCCUU
Molecule: non-coding RNA, 454 nt
Organism: Lupinus albus (white lupine)
Lineage: Eukaryota; Viridiplantae; Streptophyta; Magnoliopsida; Fabales; Fabaceae
Source: the annotation of a GenBank genome assembly